Molecule: ribosomal RNA, 601 nt
Filed under: uncultured marine eukaryote
Lineage: Eukaryota
Description: SSU rRNA
Rfam family: Eukaryotic small subunit ribosomal RNA
Source: RNAcentral
UGGUUAAAAAGCUCGUAGUUGGAUCUCAACAGCCUUGAAGCGGUUAACUUUGUAGUUUUACUGCUUUAUAGGCUGUGCUUUUGCUGGAGGUUUAGGGGUGCUCUUGAUCGAGUGUCUCUGGAUGCCAGCAGGUUUACUUUGAAAAAAUUAGAGUGCUCAAAGCAGGCUAAAAUGCCUGAAUAUUCGUGCAUGGAAUAAUAGAAUAGGAUGUCGAUCCUAUUUUGUUGGUUUUCGGGACUCGACAUAAUGAUAAAUAGGGACAGUCGGGGGCAUUUGUAUUCAGACGACAGAGGUGAAAUUCUUGGACCGUUUGAAGACAAACUACUGCGAAAGCAUUUGCCAAGAAUGUUUUCAUUAAUCAAGAACGAAAGUUAGAGGUUCGAAGGCGAUUAGAUACCGCCCUAGUUCUAACCAUAAACGAUGCCAGCUAGCGAUCUGCCUGCGUUUUUACUGUAGACUGGGCAGGAAGCUUCCGGGAAACCAAAGCAUUUGGGUUCCAGGGGAAGUAUGGUUGCAAAGCUGAAACUUAAAGGAAUUGACGGAAGGGCACCACCAGGAGUGGAGCCUGUGGCUUAAUUUGACUCAACACGGGAAAUCUCAC